RNAcentral lists this ribosomal RNA (271 nucleotides) under Acinetobacter baumannii. RNAcentral's name for it is "partial 16S ribosomal RNA". It matches the Rfam family "Bacterial small subunit ribosomal RNA", at positions 1 to 274 of the family's 1533-position model. Lineage: Bacteria; Pseudomonadati; Pseudomonadota; Gammaproteobacteria; Moraxellales; Moraxellaceae. The record is from RNAcentral.
UAACUGAAGAGUUUGAUCAUGGCUCAGAUUGAACGCUGGCGGCAGGCUUAACACAUGCAAGUCGAGCGGGGGAAGGUAGCUUGCUACCGGACCUAGCGGCGGACGGGUGAGUAAUGCUUAGGAAUCUGCCUAUUAGUGGGGGAUAACAUCUCGAAAGGGAUGCUAAUACCGCAUACGUCCUACGGGAGAAAGCAGGGGAUCUUCGGACCUUGCGCUAAUAGAUGAGCCUAAGUCGGAUUAGCUAGUUGGUGGGGUAAAGGCCUACCAAGGC